AUGAGGAAAAAUGGGAUUUCAAAGAGAUUUUGGGAUCCAAAGGAAUUUUGGGAUGAGGAAUUUUGGGAUUCCAAAGGAAUUUUGGGAUGAGAUUUCAAAGAGAUCUUGGGAUCCGAAGAAAUUUUGGGAUUUCAAAGGAAUUUUGGGAUGGGAUUUCAAACAGAUUUUGGGAUUCAAAUGAAUUUUGGGAUCUGAAAGAAUUUUGGGAUCCGAAGGAAUUUUGGGAUGAGAUUUCAAAGAGAUCUUGGGAUCCAAUGGGAUUUUGGGAUCCAAAGGAAUUUUGGGAUCUGACGGAAUUUUGAGAUGAAAUUUCAAAAAGAUUUUGGGAUCCAAAGGAAUUUUGGGAUUUCAAAGGAAUUUUGGGAUUUCAAAGGAAUUUUGGGAUGAGAUUUCAAACAGAUUUUGGGAUCCGAAGGAAUUUUGGGAUUUCAAAGGGAUUUGGGGUUGGGAUUUUGGAGAUUUUUUGGGAUGGGAUCCAAAGACAUUUUGGGAAUUUCAGGGGCUUUUGGAGCCUCAGGUAUUUGGGAUUUGGGGCCGGGAUUCCCGUGCAAUUCCGGGAUCUCAUUCCCACUUUUUUCCCGGCAGGGCGGCGGCCUGGAAGCGCUGACGGAGCGAUUCCAACCCCACCAAUCCACGCCCUCCCCGCUGCUCCUGGAGCAAAAACCGGGAAUGUUCUCCCAAACUUUCCCCCCUUCCUCAUCUUCAUCCUCCUCCUCCUCCUCCUCCUCCUCCUCCUC
This 737-nucleotide long non-coding RNA is filed under the name Parus major (Great Tit). RNAcentral describes it as "lncRNA (ENSPMJG00000001863.1)". The record is from RNAcentral. Lineage: Eukaryota; Metazoa; Chordata; Aves; Passeriformes; Paridae.